AUAACUUUUAACAACAGAUCUCUUAGUUCUAGCAUUAAUAAAGAACGCAGCGAAAUACAAUAAGUAGUGUAAAUUAUAGAAUUUAGUAAAUUAUUAAAUCUUUAAACGCACAUUGCGCCCCUUAGUAUUCUAUAGGGCAUGCCUGUUUAAGCGUUAUUUAUACCCUUAAGCUCUACUUAGUGUUAGGUAUUUAUUCUACUUAGGACUUGCCUUAAAAUAAUUAGUAGCUAGCAUAUUAGCCUAGAGCGCAGCACAUUUUGCGCCUCUUGUUAUAGUUAUUAGUAUCUAUUAAGACACUUUUUAAGCUCUUAACCUUAGAUUAGGUAGGGAUACCUGCUAAACUUAAGCAUAUUAAUAAGCAGAGGAAAAGAAACUAAUAGGGAUUGCCCUAGUAACGGCAAGUAAAGCGGCAAUAGCUUAAAUUUAAAAUCUAGCUCUUUUAGGGUCUAAGUUAUAAUUUGCAGAGGGCGCUUUAGCGUUAGCAGUGGUCUAAGUUCCUUAGAAUAGGACGUCACAGAGGGUAAGAAUCCUGUACGUAGUCGCUAGCCUUUGCCAUGUAAAGCCCCUUUAACAAGUUAAGUUAUUUAGGAAUAUAGCUCUAAAUAGGAGGUAAAUUUCUUCUAAAGCUAAAUACUAGCUAGAGACUAAUAGCGCACAAGUAGAGUAAUUAAAAGAUAAAAAGCACUUUAGAAAGAGAGUUAAAUAGCACGUAAAAUUGUUAAAAGGGAAGCGCUUGCAGCUAGACUUGCCUGUAGUUACUUAUCUAGGCUUUUGUCUAGUGCACUCUUCUAUAGGCAGGCUAGUAUUAGUUUAGGCAGUUAGAUAAAGGUCUCUGUUACGUACCUCCCUUUAGGGAGGCCUUAUAGGGGAGAUAAUAUGCAACUAGCCUAGACUAAGGUCUACGUAUCUACUAGGAUGCUAGCGUAAUAGCUAUAAGCGGCCUGUCUUAAAAUAUAGACUAAGGAGUCUAAUAUCUAUGUAAGUGUUUAGGUGUUAAGCCUAGACGCGUAAUAAAAGUAAACAGAGGUAGGACCCCUUUUAGGGUGCACUAUUAACUAAUCCUAAUAUCUUUAGAAGGAUUUAAGUAAGAGUAUAGCUAUUAGGACCUAAAAGAUAGUGAACUAUGCUUAAAUAGGGUAAAGCUAGAGGAAACUCUAGUAGAGGCUUAUAGUGGUUCUAACGUGCAAAUUAAUCGUUAAAUUUAGGUAUAGGGGCGAAAGACUAAUUAAACUAUCUAGUAGCUAGUUCCUGCUAAAGUUUCCCUUAGGAUAGCAGUAACGUAUUUAGUUUUAUAAGGUAAAGCAAAUAAUUAGAGGCCUAGGGGUUAAAACAACCUUUACCUAUUCUUAAACUUUAAAUAUAUAAGAAGUCCUUAUUACUUAAUUAAACGUGGACACUUAAAUAUACUGUUACUAGUAGGCUAUUUUUAGUAAGUAGAACUAGUGAUACAGGAUAAACUAAACGUAGGGUUAAGGUGCUAGAAUGCACGCUUAUUAGACACCACAAAAGGUGUUAGUUUAUCUAGAUAGCAGGAUAGUAGCUAUAAAAGUUAGAAUCUGCUAAGGAGUGUGUAAUAACUCACCUGCUAAAUAAACUAGCCCUAAAAAUAAAUAGCGCUUAAGCGUGUUACCUAUACCCCGCUGCUAGGGCAAGAUUUAAGCCCUAGCGAGUAGGCAGGCGUAGAGGCUUGUGACAAAGCCUUAGGGGUAACCCUAGGUAGAACAGCCUCUAGUGUAGAUCUUAGUAGUAGUAGCAAAUACUUAAAUAAGAACUUUAAGGACUAAAGUAGGGAAAGGUUCUGUGUAAACAGUAGUUAGACACAGGUUAGUUAAUCCUAAGAGAUAGGGUAAUUCUGUUUUAAUGUUAGCGCUUACGCCACGCCCUUAAAAGGGAAGCUAGUUAAUAUUCUAGCACCUAGAUAUAGAUUCUCUGCGGCAACGCAACUAACAGUAGAGACCUUAGCGGGAGCCCUAAGAAGAGUUCUCUUUUCUUCUUAAUAGUCUGUUACCCUAAAAUUAGUUUAUCUAGAGCUAGGGUUUAAUAGCUAGAAGAGCGCUGUACUUUUACAGUAUUUAGUGCGCUCCUAACAAGCCUUAAAAAUCUACUUAAAGAAAUAGUUUUUACGCUAGGUUAUACUUAUAACUGCAGCAGGUCUCUAAGGUAAAAAGCCUCUAGUUAAUAGAACAAUAUAGAUAAGGGAAGUUAGCAAAAUAGAUCUGUAACUUUAGGAAAAGGAUUAGCUCUAAGGGUUAGGUACGUUAGGCCUUAGGGAGAAGCCUCUAGCGCAGAAGGGCACUAACUGUAAGGUAGGCGCCUCUUAGCGCUAGGGUGCAGACACCCUUAGCAGGUUUUGGCCGUCUAGCGUACGUUUAACAACUAACUUAGAACUAGUAUAGAUAAGGGGAAUCUAACUGUCUAAUUAAAAUAUAGCAUUAUAAUAGCUAGAAAGUAGUAUUAACAUAAUAUAAUUUCUGCCUAGUGCUCUAAAUAUUAAAGCAAAGAGAUUUAACUAAGCGCGGGUAAACGGCGGGAGUAACUAUAACUCUCUUAAGGUAGCUAAAUGCCUUAUUAUCUAAUUAGUGACGCGCAUAAAUAGAUUAAUAAGAUUCCUACUAUCCCUAUCUACUAUCUAGCGAAACUAUAGCUAAGGGAACAGGCUUAGCUAAAUUAGUGGGGAAAGAAGACCCUAUUAAGCUUAACUCUAGUUUAACAUUAUAAAAAGAUAUAGGGGGUGUAGAAUAGGUAGGAGCUUUAGCGCUAGUAAAAUACUACUACCCUUAUCGUUUUUUUACUUAUUUAAUAAAGUGGAGCUAGGCCUUACUACCUAACUUCUAGCGUUUAAGGUCCUUUAUAGGCUAAUCUAGGUUAAAGAUAUUAUUAGGUAGGGAGUUUAGCUAGGGCGGCACAUCUAUUAAACUAUAACGCAGGUGUCCUAAGGGGGACUUAUAGAGAAUAGAAAUCUCUAGUAGAGUAAAAGGGCAAAAGUCCCCUUAAUUUUAAUUUUUAGUGUGAAUACAAACUAUAAAAGUGUAGCCUAUUAAUCCUUUAGUCCCUUGAAAUUUAAGGCUAGAGGUGCUAGAAAAGUUACUAUAGGGAUAACUGGCUUGUGGCAGCCAAGCGUUUAUAGCGACGUUGCUUUUUAAUCCUUUAAUAUUAGCUCUUCCUAUUAUACUAAAGCAGAAUUUAGUAAGCGUUAGAUUGUUUACCUACUAAUAGGGAACGUAAGCUAGGUUUAGACUAUUAUAAGAUAGGUUAGUUUUACCCUACUAAUAACCUUACCCUAAUAGUAAUACCGCUUAGUACAAGAGGAACUGCAGUUUUAGAUAAUUAGUUUUUGCGGCUAUCUAACUAGGUAUUGCCACAAAGCUACUAUCUACUAGAUUAUAGCUAAACGCCUCUAAGUUAGAAUCUAUGCUAGAACAGGGUAAUUUCUGCCUGCACUAGUUAGAUAUAAAUAGGCCUUUAGCCCAGAACCUUACUAGAUUAGCGUUAGCAGCCCUAUUAAAGUUAGAGUUGUUAGCAAGUGUAUUGCAAUUAUACAGUGCGUAGGAU
This 3552-nucleotide ribosomal RNA is filed under the name Plenodomus lingam (blackleg of rapeseed fungus). RNAcentral's name for it is "eukaryotic LSU rRNA". It matches the Rfam family "Eukaryotic large subunit ribosomal RNA". Lineage: Eukaryota; Fungi; Ascomycota; Dothideomycetes; Pleosporales; Leptosphaeriaceae. The record is from RNAcentral.